Molecule: ribosomal RNA, 286 nt
Filed under: uncultured cyanobacterium
Lineage: Bacteria; Bacillati; Cyanobacteriota
Description: partial 16S ribosomal RNA
Rfam family: Bacterial small subunit ribosomal RNA
Source: RNAcentral
GGCCUUCGAGUGAAUGGUUAUAUUAUCCGCCUAGAGAGAAGCUCGCGGCUGAUUAGCUUGUUGGUAAGGUAAGAGCUUACCAAGGCGNCGAUCAGUAUCUGGUUUGAGAGGCGAUCAGACACACUGGAACUGAGACACGGUCCAGACUCCUACGGGAGGCAGCAGUGGGGAAUUUUCCGCAAUGGGCGAAAGCUGACGGAGCAAUACCGCGUGAGGGAAGACUGCCUAUGGGUUGUAAACCUCUUUUUUCAGGGAGGAAUCAAUGACGUGUACCUGAAGAAUAAGC